AGAACACCCCUCAAGCCUAGCUUGGUCUUGGGGCUCGCCGGCUCGGCGGCCCCUAAACGCAGUGGCGGUGCUGGUGUGCUCUCCGCGUAGUCAUGUAUCUCGCGACAGAGUGGCGACGGCACCCGCCAGAACCCCAGUCUUUGG
RNAcentral lists this unclassified non-coding RNA (144 nucleotides) under uncultured Podosphaera. RNAcentral's name for it is "internal spacer region 2". Lineage: Eukaryota; Fungi; Ascomycota; Leotiomycetes; Helotiales; Erysiphaceae. The record is from RNAcentral.